CGGGGCGUAGCGCAGUUGGUAGCGCGCACGGUUCGGGACCGUGAGGUCGUGGGUUCGAAUCCCGCCGCCCCGA
This 73-nucleotide transfer RNA is filed under the name Elusimicrobiaceae bacterium. RNAcentral's name for it is "tRNA-Pro". It matches the Rfam family "tRNA". Rfam says of the family: Transfer RNA (tRNA) molecules are approximately 80 nucleotides in length. The record is from RNAcentral. Lineage: Bacteria; Pseudomonadati; Elusimicrobiota; Elusimicrobia; Elusimicrobiales; Elusimicrobiaceae.